UACGUAGGGCGCAAGCGUUGUCCGGAAUUAUUGGGCGUAAAGAGCUCGUAGGCGGCUUGUCACGUCGGGUGUGAAAGCCCGGGGCUUAACCCCGGGUCUGCAUUCGAUACGGGCAGGCUAGGGUGUGGUAGGGGAGAUCGGAAUUCCUGGUGUAGCGGUGAAAUGCGCAGAUAUCAGGAGGAACACCGGUGGCGAAGGCGGAUCUCUGGGCCAUUACUGACGCUGAGGAGCGAAAGCGUGGGGAGCGAACAGG
Molecule: ribosomal RNA, 253 nt
Filed under: uncultured bacterium
Lineage: Bacteria
Description: partial 16S ribosomal RNA
Rfam family: Bacterial small subunit ribosomal RNA
Source: RNAcentral